UUAAGGCCUUGACUUGGCUCAUUUAAUUAAAUGAAGUUCAAUUUUAGUAAGUGGCAAACCCGGUCAAUAUCUAAGUCAUUGUUUAAAUCUCAUUUCAAUCUCAAUAUUCUUUGGCUACAUUUUAUUCCGAGUUUAAAUUAGAACAUCGCAAUGAUGUAAAUUUAUAGUAUUAGUUAUAUCUUUUUUUUUUUUUAAAUACCUUAUAUAUUUGUUGAAAAUGAUCUAAAUUUUUACGAAUGAAUACUAUCGAUAUAUUAUACACUCGUAAUUAUAUACUGAUUAGAUAAAAAAAAAAUUAUAACAAAAAAUAAUUAAAACUGUUCCCUUUAUCCAUAUAUUUUUAUUGGUCCUAAUAAUAUUAAAAUGUCACAACUUUUAAAUGUAUUAAUUUCUAAAAUUUUAUUU
Molecule: long non-coding RNA, 405 nt
Filed under: Cicer arietinum (chickpea)
Lineage: Eukaryota; Viridiplantae; Streptophyta; Magnoliopsida; Fabales; Fabaceae
Description: long non-coding RNA (CARI_LNC001750)
Source: RNAcentral